CCCUUAGAUGUUCUGGGCCGCACGCGCGCUACACUGAUGCAUUCAACGAGUUUUACCUUGGCCGAGAGGCCUGGGCAAUCUUUUAAACCUGCAUCGUGAUAGGGAUAGAUUAUUGCAAUUAUUAAUCUUGAACGAGGAAUUCCUAGUAAACGCAAAUCAUCAAUUUGCAUUGAUUACGUCCCUGCCCUUUGUACACACCGCCCGUCGCACCUACCGAUUGAAUGGUCCGGUGAGGCCUCGGGAUUGUGGCCGGUUUCCUUCAUUGGGAGUUGGCUGCGAGAACUUGUCCAAACCUUAUCAUUUAGAGGAAGGUGAAGUCGUAACA
RNAcentral lists this ribosomal RNA (325 nucleotides) under uncultured eukaryote. RNAcentral describes it as "partial 18S ribosomal RNA". It matches the Rfam family "Eukaryotic small subunit ribosomal RNA", at positions 1470 to 1796 of the family's 1831-position model. The record is from RNAcentral.